GGUACCCCUAGAGAUGUUUCAGGUGUGGCUACUAGGACACAUGUAUGUCACUACGUGGCAGAGAAAAGAAGCUGUGCCUAUGCUCAGUGUUCUGACCUGUGAACACUGAAUUAUUAGUAGCCCAACAUG
This is a small nucleolar RNA of Acomys russatus (golden spiny mouse), 129 nucleotides long. RefSeq annotates it as small nucleolar RNA SNORA17. The record is from RefSeq and is a predicted model, not a curated record. NCBI's taxonomy places the organism in Eukaryota, Metazoa, Chordata, Mammalia, Rodentia, Muridae. The transcript has a single exon.